Molecule: long non-coding RNA, 1759 nt
Organism: Mustela lutreola (European mink)
Lineage: Eukaryota; Metazoa; Chordata; Mammalia; Carnivora; Mustelidae
Exons: 5
Source: RefSeq, a predicted model, not a curated record
AGCUUCGUCCUGGAGAGAGCUUGGCGGCUCCUGGCCUUGCGGGUCCUGUGUGACAGUGGGUCUACCGACUGGUGGGAUUCGUGUGUCGCAGGCUCGCUGGGCCGGGUUCGUGACGUCAUAAAACAUGAAGGUAGCUGAAUCCAGGCCAGAACUAACAUUUGCUCCACAGUGGGUCCCAAAAAGUGCUACACCUAGUUCUCACCUCCAACCAUAAUGACCACUUGGCACCAAUAGGACCAAAGAAGUACAUCCCCUGCCCCUGGUUGAUUAUGCAAAUGACAUUUGAGGGCCUUCCAGGAAUAGCAUUCAGGCCCAAGUCACAGUGUUUCUCAACCUGAGGACGACUGACAUUUGGAGACAAUUCUGUGUUGUGGAAACUGACCUGCACAUCGUCAAAAGUUUGCUCACAAUCAGCAGUUGUUUUAUUGCUUUUACAAUAAAAUUUAAAUCAAGGAGGAAUCAUUCACAGAAGGAAGUAGAGCUUGAGUGAUUUAGGGCCAUUUCAUGUCUCUCCCUAGCUCUGCUUUGGUCUUCUACCAAGUAACUCUGCCUUUAGCUUUAAAUUUAAAAAAAAAAAAAAAAAAAAAAAGGAAAGACGAGGAAGGUUAGAGAGAUUGGAUCAGCUUUUCAGAAAAGGAAAGAAACACCACUAUUGUCAUAAACUCCAGGAAACAUUUCUUCAGCCAGCUAAUUUGGGUGCAACUACAGGAUCAAUUGAAUGACUUGGAAGCCCUGUUUGAAGAGGACAACCUAUUAAAGGUACAGGGAGUAUAACUUCUAACUUGCUUGGACUGACUUUUAUAAGAGGUCUAAAUUAUUGAAAUAAUUUUCCAUGAUUCCACUUAUAAUGUGAAAGUGGUACAAACUGUUGUUCAUAAAUGUCUUGAAAAUAGUCAUUUUAAUGUGUAUAUUAAUUUUAGGAAAAAAAUUGAGGAUAGGGUAGGGUUGAAUUUUAUGAUUUUACAUAAUUCCAGGCAUCCUUGCAUAAUCAAUGUGUGUUUACAACUCUUUUAUGGGACUCAGGCAUGAUUCUACUAUGUUAAAUUAUUUUAGAGGAUUGCAGCUGUAGCUUUGUCCUUUUGAUGUUUGAUUGAUCAUGUCUGUAUUUUCUGUGACACUGAGUCCUUGGUCAGCCUUCAGUUACAACAUUGGCACCAGAGGAGAAAAUGUUCCAUUUUAUGGAAGAUGUGAUUUCUAAGAACACAAUGUGGUAAGAAACGAGACUGACUAUGAAAUCUAGAAACAUGUAUUUAUGGCUACAAAUUGAUAACGGGAAAUGUCUUAAGAAGACGGAAACUGACAGAUUGUAGGAUGGAUCAUCAGUAGAGACCUUCCAGAGAAAAUCAACCUCAAUCUAUUAUCUUAAGGGCAAAGAACAGAGUGAAGAUGAGAAGACAUGCUAUUGGUGGUCAUUGUUACUGAACAACUGUCCAACAGAAAGUGUCUUAUUGCUUCAGGCAAGCCACUCUCCUCUACCUACUCAGUUACUCACACCAGGUAACAGAACACUCAGGGCAUAGAAAUAGAUAUGAAAAUGUGUUUGUUUUCCUUUGUAAUGUAAUAAAUCUGAUUGCAUGCUGACCAUGACCUAGGCACUGUCAUGGGUCUCAGGGAUUACAAAGACAGUUGUUACUUAGUCUUUGUUUUCCAAAGGCUCCCAAUCUAGUAGGAGAGACUGGCAAGUAGAUAGUGCAUUAAGGCCAAUACUAUAAUAGAGGUAGCACUGGAAUACAAAGAAGCAGAUAUUAAAUCUACAUCU